Molecule: ribosomal RNA, 221 nt
Filed under: Enterococcus sp.
Lineage: Bacteria; Bacillati; Bacillota; Bacilli; Lactobacillales; Enterococcaceae
Description: partial 16S ribosomal RNA
Rfam family: Bacterial small subunit ribosomal RNA
Source: RNAcentral
GGGCGUAAGCGAGCGCGGCGGUUUCUUAAGUCUGAUGUGAAAGCCCCCGGCUCAACCGGGGAGGGUCAUUGGAAACUGGGAAACUUGAGUGCGAAGAGGAGAGUGGAAUUCCAUGUGUAGCGGUGAAAUGCGUAAUAUGUGGAGGAACACCAGUGGCGAAGGCGACUCUCUGGUCUGUAACUGACGCUGAGGCUCGAAAGCGUGGGGAGCGAACAGGAUUA